GACGAACGCUGGCGGCGUGCUUAACACAUGCAAGUCGAACGGAAAGGCCCUGCUUUUGUGGGGUGCUCGAGUGGCGAACGGGUGAGUAACACGUGAGUAACCUGCCCUUGACUUUGGGAUAACUUCAGGAAACUGGGGCUAAUACCGGAUAGGAGCUCCUGCUGCAUGGUGGGGGUUGGAAAGUUUCGGCGGUUGGGGAUGGACUCGCGGCUUAUCAGCUUGUUGGUGGGGUAGUGGCUUACCAAGGCUUUGACGGGUAGCCGGCCUGAGAGGGUGACCGGCCACAUUGGGACUGAGAUACGGCCCAGACUCCUACGGGAGGCAGCAGUGGGGAAUAUUGCACAAUGGGCGGAAGCCUGAUGCAGCAACGCCGCGUGCGGGAUGACGGCCUUCGGGUUGUAAACCGCUUUCGCCUGUGACGAAGCGUGAGUGACGGUAAUGGGUAAAGAAGCACCGGCUAACUACGUGCCAGCAGCCGCGGUGAUACGUAGGGUGCGAGCGUUGUCCGGAUUUAUUGGGCGUAAAGGGCUCGUAGGUGGUUGAUCGCGUCGGAAGUGUAAUCUUGGGGCUUAACCCUGAGCGCGCUUUCGAUACGGGUUGACUUGAGGAAGGUAGGGGAGAAUGGAAUUCCUGGUGGAGCGGUGGAAUGCGCAGAUAUCAGGAGGAACACCAGUGGCGAAGGCGGUUCUCUGGGCCUUUCCUGACGCUGAGGAGCGAAAGCGUGGGGAGCGAACAGGCUUAGAUACCCUGGUAGUCCACGCUGUAAACGGUGGGUACUAGGUGUGGGGUCCAUUCCACGGGUUCCGUGCCGUAGCUAACGCUUUAAGUACCCCGCCUGGGGAGUACGGCCGCAAGGCUAAAACUCAAAGGAAUUGACGGGGCCCCGCACAAGCGGCGGAGCAUGCGGAUUAAUUCGAUGCAACGCGUAGAACCUUACCUGGGUUUGACAUGGAUCGGGAGUGCUCAGAGAUGGGUGUGCCUCUUUUGGGGUCGGUUCACAGGUGGUGCAUGGCUGUCGUCAGCUCGUGUCGUGAGAUGUUGGGUUAAGUCCCGCAACGAGCGCAACCCUUGUUCACUGUUGCCAGCACGUUAUGGUGGGGACUCAGUGGAGACCGCCGGGGUCAACUCGGAGGAAGGUGGGGAUGACGUCAAGUCAUCAUGCCCCUUAUGUCCAGGGCUUCACGCAUGCUACAAUGGCUGGCACAGAGAGUGGCGAGCCUGUGAGGGUGAGCGAAUCUCGGAAAGCCGGUCUCAGUUCGGAUUGGGGUCUGCAACUCGACCUCAUGAAGUCGGAGUCGCUAGUAAUCGCAGAUCAGCAACGCUGCGGUGAAUACGUUCCCGGG
Molecule: ribosomal RNA, 1343 nt
Filed under: uncultured bacterium
Lineage: Bacteria
Description: 16S ribosomal RNA
Rfam family: Bacterial small subunit ribosomal RNA
Source: RNAcentral